GAUGAACGCUGGCGGCGUGCUUAACACAUGCAAGUCGAACGGGAAACCUUUUAUUGAAGCUUCGGCAGAUUUAGCUGGUUUCUAGUGGCGGACGGGUGAGUAACGCGUGGGUAACCUGCCCUAUACAGGGGGAUAACAACCAGAAAUGGUUGCUAAUACCGCAUAAGCGCACAGGGCCGCAUGGUCCGGUGUGAAAAACUCCGGUGGUAUAGGAUGGACCCGCGUUGGAUUAGCCAGUUGGCAGGGUAACGGCCUACCAAAGCGACGAUCCAUAGCCGGCCGGAGAGGGUGAACGGCCACAUUGGGACUGAGACACGGCCCAGACUCCUACGGGAGGCAGCAGUGGGGAAUAUUGCACAAUGGGGGAAACCCUGAUGCAGCGACGCCGCGUGAAGGAAGAAGUAUCUCGGUAUGUAAACUUCUAUCAGCAGGGAAGAUAGUGACGGUACCUGACUAAGAAGCCCCGGCUAACUACGUG
Molecule: ribosomal RNA, 478 nt
Filed under: uncultured bacterium
Lineage: Bacteria
Description: partial 16S ribosomal RNA
Rfam family: Bacterial small subunit ribosomal RNA
Source: RNAcentral